CAAUAGCGCAUAUUAAAGUUGUUGCAGUUAAAAAGCUCGUAGUUGGAUUUGUGGUGGUUCCUGUGGUCCGAUUUCGGUACUCUCGGGGACUGCCAUCUUUGGGUGGAUCCUGUGUGGCAUUAGGUUGUCGUGCAGGGGAUGCCCAUCGUUUACUGUGAAAAAAUUAGAGUGUUCAAAGCAGGCUUAUGCCGUUGAAUAUAUUAGCAUGGAAUAAUGAGAUAGGACCUUGGUACUAUUUUGUUGGUUUGCGCACCGAGGUAAUGAUUAAUAGGGACAGUUGUGGGUAUUCGUAUUCCAUUGUCAGAGGUGAAAUUCUUGGAUUUCUGGAAGACGAACUAAUGCGAAAGCAUUUACCAAGGAUGUUUNCAUUAA
This 372-nucleotide ribosomal RNA is filed under the name uncultured eukaryote. RNAcentral describes it as "partial 18S ribosomal RNA". It matches the Rfam family "Eukaryotic small subunit ribosomal RNA", at positions 592 to 976 of the family's 1831-position model. The record is from RNAcentral.